UACAGAGGUCUCAAGCGUUGUUCGGAUUCAUUGGGCGUAAAGGGUGCGUAGGCGGCGCGGUAAGUCGGGUGUGAAAUCUCGGAGCUUAACUCCGAAACUGCAUUCGAUACUGCCGUGCUUGAGGACUGGAGAGGAGACUGGAAUUUACGGUGUAGCGGUGAAAUGCGUAGAUAUCAGGAGGAACACCAAUGGCGAAGGCAGCUCGCUGGGACGUGACUGACGCUGAGACGCGAAAGCGUGGGAGCAAACAGG
Molecule: ribosomal RNA, 252 nt
Filed under: uncultured bacterium
Lineage: Bacteria
Description: partial 16S ribosomal RNA
Rfam family: Bacterial small subunit ribosomal RNA
Source: RNAcentral